GAUGAAGAACGUAGCGAAAUGCGAUAAGUAAUGUGAAUUGCAGAAUUCAGUAAAUCAUCGAAUCUUUGAACGCACCUUGCGCCCUUUGGCCAUUCCGAAGGGCAUGCCUGUUUGAGUAUCAUGAACACCUCAACUCUUUAUGGUUUUCCAUGAUGAGCUUGGACUCUGGGGGUUUUGCUGGCUCACAGUCGGCUCCUCUAAAAUGAAUCAGCUUACCAGUGUUUGGUGGGUAUCAUGGGUGUGAUAACUAUCUACGCUUGUGGUUUUUCCACCAGGUAACCUUCAGCAGUGGAGGUUCGCUGGAGCUCAUAGAUGUCUCUCCUCAGUGAGGACAGCCCUUUGAAUGUUUGAUCUCAAAUCAGGUAGGACUACCCGCUGAACUUAAGCAUAUCAAUAAGCGGAGGA
Molecule: unclassified non-coding RNA, 405 nt
Filed under: soil metagenome
Description: partial contains 5.8S ribosomal RNA, internal transcribed spacer 2, and large subunit ribosomal RNA
Rfam family: 5.8S ribosomal RNA (bases 1-121)
Source: RNAcentral